This 492-nucleotide ribosomal RNA is filed under the name uncultured bacterium. RNAcentral's name for it is "partial 16S ribosomal RNA". It matches the Rfam family "Bacterial small subunit ribosomal RNA", at positions 29 to 507 of the family's 1533-position model. The record is from RNAcentral.
AGUGAACGCUGGCGGUAGGCCUAACACAUGCAAGUCGAACGGCAGCACAGUAAGAGCUUGCUCUUACGGGUGGCGAGUGGCGGACGGGUGAGGAAUACAUCGGAAUCUACUUUUUCGUGGGGGAUAACGUAGGGAAACUUACGCUAAUACCGCAUACGACCUACGGGUGAAAGCAGGGGAUCUUCGGACCUUGCGCGAUUGAAUGAGCCGAUGUCGGAUUAGCUAGUUGGCGGGGUAAAGGCCCACCAAGGCGACGAUCCGUAGCUGGUCUGAGAGGAUGAUCAGCCACACUGGAACUGAGACACGGCCCAGACUCCUACGGGAGGCAGCAGUGGGGAAUAUUGGACAAAGAGCGCAAGCCUGAUCCAGCCAUACCGCGUGGGUGAAGAAGGCCUUCGGGUUGUAAAGCCCUUUUGUUGGGAAAGAAAAGCAGCAGGUUAAUACCCCGCUGUUCUGACGGUACCCAAAGAAUAAGCACCGGCUAACUUCGUG